UACGUAGGGUGCGAGCGUUAAUCGGAAUUACUGGGCGUAAAGCGUGCGCAGGCGGUUCGUCAAGUCUGAUGUGAAAGCCCCGGGCUCAACCUGGGAAUGGCAUUGGAUACUAGCGAGCUUGAGUGUGGCAGAGGGGGGUGGAAUUCCACGUGUAGCAGUGAAAUGCGUAGAGAUGUGGAGGAACACCGAUGGCGAAGGCAGCCCCCUGGGCUAACACUGACGCUCAGGCACGAAAGCGUGGGGAGCAAACAG
This 252-nucleotide ribosomal RNA is filed under the name uncultured bacterium. RNAcentral describes it as "partial 16S ribosomal RNA". It matches the Rfam family "Bacterial small subunit ribosomal RNA", at positions 524 to 775 of the family's 1533-position model. The record is from RNAcentral.